Molecule: ribosomal RNA, 253 nt
Filed under: uncultured bacterium
Lineage: Bacteria
Description: partial 16S ribosomal RNA
Rfam family: Bacterial small subunit ribosomal RNA
Source: RNAcentral
UACGAAGGGGGCUAGCGUUGCUCGGAAUUACUGGGCGUAAAGGGAGCGUAGGCGGACAUUUAAGUCAGAGGUGAAAUCCCGGAGCUUAACUUCGGAACUGCCUUUGAUACUGGAUGUCUUGAGUGUGAGAGAGGUAUGUGGAACUCCGAGUGUAGAGGUGAAAUUCGUAGAUAUUCGGAAGAACGCCAGUGGCGAAGGCGACAUACUGGCUCAUUACUGACGCUGAGGCUCGAAAGCGUGGGGAGCAAACAGG